CUGCGAACGGCUCAUUAAAUCAGUUAUCGUUUAUUUGAUAGUGCCUUACUACAUGGAUAACCGUGGUAAUUCUAGAGCUAAUACAUGCUGAAGGCCCCGACUUCGGGAGGGGUGUGUUUAUUAGAUAAAAAACCAACGCCCUUCGGGGCUCCUUGGUGAGUCAUGAUAACCUGACGGAUCGCAUGGCCCUGCGCCGGCGAUGGUUCAUUCAAAUUUCUGCCCUAUCAACUUUCGAUGGUAGGAUCGAGGCCUACCAUGGUAUCAACGGGUAACGGGGAAUUAGGGUUCUAUUUCCGGAGACUGGGCCUGAUAAACCGCCCAGACAUCCAAGGAAGGCAGCAGGCGCGCAAAUUACCCAAUCCCGACACGGGGAGGUAGUGACAAUAAAUACUGAUACAGGGCUCUUUUGGGUCUUGUAAUUGGAAUGAGUACAAUCUAAACCCCUUAACGAGGAACAAUUGGAGGGCAAGUCUGGUGCCAGCAGCCGCGGUAAUUCCAGCUCCAAUAGCGUAUAUUAAAGUUGUUGCAGUUAAAAAGCUCGUAGUUGAACCUUGGGCCUGGCUGGCCGGUCCGCCUCACCGCGUGCACUGGUUCGGCCGGGCCUUUCCUCCGGGGGAGCCCCAUGCCCUUCGCUGGGCGUGUGGGGGACCCCGGACGUUUACUUUGAAAAAAUUAGAGUGUUCAAAGCAGGCCUUCGCUCGAAUACAUUAGCAUGGAAUAAUGGAAUAGGACGGCGGUCCUAUUUUGUUGGUUUCUAGAACCGCCGUAAUGAUUAAUAGGGAUAGUCGGGGGCGUCCGUAUUCAAUUGUCAGAGGUGAAAUUCUUGGAUUCAUUGAAGACGAACUACUGCGAAAGCAUUCGCCAAGGAUGUUUUCAUUAAUCAGGAACGAAAGUUAGGGGAUCGAAGACGAUCAGAUACCGUCGUAGUCUUAACCGUAAACCAUGCCGACUAGGGAUCGGGCGAUGUUAUUUGGUUGACUCGCCCGGCACCUUACGAGAAAUC
Molecule: ribosomal RNA, 1003 nt
Filed under: Kirschsteiniothelia dujuanhuensis
Lineage: Eukaryota; Fungi; Ascomycota; Dothideomycetes; Kirschsteiniotheliales; Kirschsteiniotheliaceae
Description: SSU rRNA
Rfam family: Eukaryotic small subunit ribosomal RNA
Source: RNAcentral